This is a long non-coding RNA of Vigna angularis (adzuki bean), 649 nucleotides long. RefSeq lists it as uncharacterized. The transcript is spliced from 2 exons. NCBI's taxonomy places the organism in Eukaryota, Viridiplantae, Streptophyta, Magnoliopsida, Fabales, Fabaceae. The record is from RefSeq and is a predicted model, not a curated record.
GUCCCUAAUCAGAGUUGUUUUUUCUCAUUCAUCUCCUCAAAUGGUUGAUCUUCCUUCUUUCCUUUUUGUCAUUUCUCAAUCAAACACACAAAAAAGGCUCUUUCUUUUAGCUGAGUUGGGUUGAUUGCGUAGAAAGAAGACAUGGAAAAGGUAAGAGAUUUGAAGGAAAGGUAACAAUUGUGAUAGCUUGCACUAAGGAAAUUGGCCAUGCUAUUGCACAUAGACUUAUUUGAGAGUGCAUCUGUUGUCAUCUCUUCUAGCAAGCAGGUUACUUCAUCCUUCAACAUCCUAGAAGCACAAGAAAGAGGGCACAAAGAAUAGGAGUAAACCAAUUGUUAGACUAUGAUACUUUAACACCAGUGGGGUGUUUUACUUCCACGCCAUCAUUGCAGCAACAAGCAGCACAAAGAAUGGAACCUGCAAAAACAGAGAUGCCCUUGCCUCGUGCAAUGUCAAACUGGCACACAUCACAUACUAAAAUGAAAUAUUUGAGUCUUGAGUUGUCAUGUGUCCUAAUCUGCAAGGCAUGCCAAGUAUUCAACAUUUAUGAACAAGGAAUGUCUAUAUUAUAUGGAAUGUGAAUAACUCAGUGAAAGCUUGGCUUAUUUUGUAUUUCCAACAGCUUAUAAACAAACACUUUCAGAUAGAA